Molecule: ribosomal RNA, 691 nt
Filed under: Erysiphe quercicola
Lineage: Eukaryota; Fungi; Ascomycota; Leotiomycetes; Helotiales; Erysiphaceae
Description: eukaryotic LSU rRNA
Rfam family: Eukaryotic large subunit ribosomal RNA
Source: RNAcentral
GAGCGGUAACAGCUCAAAUUUGAAAUCUGGCUCUUGCGGAGUCCGAGUUGUAAUUUGUAGAAGAUGCUUUGGGUUGUGGGUUCGGCCUAAGUUCCUUGGAACAGGACGUCAUAGAGGGUGAGAAUCCCGUAUGUGGCCGAGGCCCGCGCCUAUGUAAAGCUCUUUCAACGAGUCGAGUUGUUUGGGAAUGCAGCUCAAAAUGGGUGGUAAAUUUCAUCUAAAGCUAAAUAUGGGCCAGAGACCGAUAGCGCACAAGUAGAGUGAUCGAAAGAUGAAAAGCACUUUGGAAAGAGAGUUAAACAGUACGUGAAAUUGUUGAAAGGGAAGCGCUUGCAACCAGACUUGGGCGCUGCCGAUCACCUUGAGUUUUCUCGAGUGCACUCGACAGCGCACAGGCCAGCAUCGGUUCGGGUGGCUGGAUAAAGGCCGUAGGAAUGUGGCUCUCUUCGGGGAGUGUUAUAGCCUACGGUGCCAUGCAGCCCAGCCGGACCGAGGACCGCGCCUUCGGGCUAGGAUGCUGGCGUAAUGGUUGUAAGCGACCCGUCUUGAAACACGGACCAAGGAGUCUAACAUCUAUGCGAGUGUUUGGGUGGUAAACCCAUACGCGGAAUGAAAGUGAACGUAGGUGAGAACCCCUUUGGGGCGCAUCAUCGACCGAUCCUGAUGUCUUCGGAUGGAUUUGAGUAGACUA